RNAcentral lists this ribosomal RNA (319 nucleotides) under uncultured eukaryote. RNAcentral describes it as "partial 18S ribosomal RNA". It matches the Rfam family "Eukaryotic small subunit ribosomal RNA", at positions 1470 to 1796 of the family's 1831-position model. The record is from RNAcentral.
CCCUUAGAUGUUCUGGGCAGCACGCGCGCUACAAUGGUCUUCGCAAACGGAUGCAUUCUCGAAGGAGAAUGCCAAUCUUGGAAUCUAUGCCUUGGUCGGGACAGUUGCUCGCAAUUUUUCGACUCGAACCAGGAAUUCCUUGUAAUCGUGAUUCAUCACAUCACGAUGAAUACGUCCCUGCCCUUUGUACGCACCGCCCGUCGCUCCUACCGAUCGAAGAGUUAGGUGAAUUGUUUUGAUCGAUAAGAUUUGACUAUGGUCAACUCUCGUUGUGAAAUUCUGUGAAUCUGACUGUUUAGAGGAAGGAAAAGUCGUAACA